Molecule: ribosomal RNA, 253 nt
Filed under: uncultured bacterium
Lineage: Bacteria
Description: partial 16S ribosomal RNA
Rfam family: Bacterial small subunit ribosomal RNA
Source: RNAcentral
UACGGGGGGGGCAAGCGUUGUUCGGAAUUACUGGGCGUAAAGGGCUCGUAGGUGGCCAACUAAGUCAGACGUGAAGUCCCUCGGCUUAACCGGGGAACUGCGUCUGAUACUGGAUGGCUUGAGUUUGGGAGAGGGACGCGGAAUUCCAGGUGUAGCGGUGAAAUGCGCAGAUAUCAGGAAGAACACCCGUGGCGAAGGCGGCUCUCUGGGACGGUACUGACGCUGAGACGCGAAAGCGUGGGGAGCGAACAGG